Molecule: long non-coding RNA, 1368 nt
Filed under: Cyanistes caeruleus (blue tit)
Lineage: Eukaryota; Metazoa; Chordata; Aves; Passeriformes; Paridae
Description: lncRNA (ENSCCEG00000007887.1)
Source: RNAcentral
UGAAACCAAUUACAUUGUUUUUGAGGGUCGUGGAUUUAUGCCACUUGUUUCUUUUCUUAACUGCAGAUGAUGUAGCCAAAGCUUGUGAGUGUGAAUACUGUUACAUCUUUUGUAUAACUCUCAUAACAUUGAGGACGGAAAAAGAAAAGGAGGAAGGGUUUAUUCAGCUGGAAAAAGCUCACAUUUGGAAGUGACUAUCGUGGCUAGUUAGAACAAAAACAACCAAUCAAGAUUUAACCCCAUUCUAAAGAUUAAAUUAAUCUCUACAUUCAGAUCUUGAGAUUGCAGUCACUGCUGCAGAUGAAAAAGCUGAAACCUUUUACUGGAGUAGAGGAGUGAGGCUGCCUGCUGGUCCUGCACCCUUGUGGCAUCAGGCAGUGACAGGACUAUCCUUAGUCUGGUGUGGUACCUUGUGUGUGAUCCAGGUGAUGCCAGGGAGCAGAUGAGCCCGUAAAGUACCAGAAAAGAGAGUUUGCUCAGGGAGGAAGCUUGGCUGAUAUUGGUGCACAGGGCAGUACUGUUAGGGAGCAGAUGAAAUCCUUGCUGAUGACUUUUAUCAGAACUAGGUGAAGCUAGUUAUGUAGGGAGGUGCUAAUAUGGUUCUUCAAGGGACAGGGGGUAAAUGUUGGAGGAGCUGUGUAUUUCUAACCAGCUCAGCUAUGGGCACUUGCUGCUGCUAGAAGACAGCUCUAAGCUGAUUCCUCCUGCAUGCAUCCUGAUGAAGAAAAAUAGGAUGUAAGAAGAACUGAUGACAUACCUAAGAUGUCUUAGGGGAUGUAAUUGGACACUCAACUGAAGGCCUCUGAGCAACCUCCCUUAAACAGCACGUGCUUCCUCUGUACUGAGCAGCCUGGCUUAUCUUCUAUAUGUGACAGUUCUCUGCUCUAACUUGCCACUAGCUUCAGCUCUUCUUUGCAGAAGUCCCAAACAGGCCAUUUUUCUCUGCUUAAAUUCAGGAACAAUAAAAAAGCCAGCUAAAUUGAUAUUUAUGGACUUGGGAAUCCAGAAAAAAAAAAAAAGGAGUCCAGAAGAAGAAUGUGCCAGUAUUAUCUCAGGGCUUUUGUUUGCUGAUGGAGAGAAGAGGAUGACGGGAGAAGACUCCAGCAGUGCCCAUGAACCUUGCACAGAGCUGGCGAAGCAGAAUGGCAAGACCAGGUCCAAAUGUUAUCAGGGAUGGCUCUGCAGGAUUGUGGCUGGACUGAAGUGACCUGCAGGUUUAACGCUGUUCUGGAAGACUGAAGCACUACAGUGUUCUGUGCCAGGACAAGUCCUGCUUCGUGGACUUCUUGGAAGAGCACAGUAAAUAUAUUUUAUGAGGUUUUAGAAAAGAGGUUGCACAUUUUUUAAUUCAUGAGGGUAAUGAAAGAU